This 720-nucleotide ribosomal RNA is filed under the name Paenibacillus barcinonensis. RNAcentral describes it as "bacterial SSU rRNA". It matches the Rfam family "Bacterial small subunit ribosomal RNA", at positions 79 to 779 of the family's 1533-position model. Lineage: Bacteria; Bacillati; Bacillota; Bacilli; Caryophanales; Paenibacillaceae. The record is from RNAcentral.
CUUGCUUCUCUGAUGGUUAGCGGCGGACGGGUGAGUAACACGUAGGCAACCUGCCCUCAAGCUUGGGACAACUACCGGAAACGGUAGCUAAUACCGAAUACUUGUUUUCUUCGCCUGAAGAGAACUGGAAAGACGGAGCAAUCUGUCACUUGGGGAUGGGCCUGCGGCGCAUUAGCUAGUUGGUGAGGUAACGGCUCACCAAGGCGACGAUGCGUAGCCGACCUGAGAGGGUGAUCGGCCACACUGGGACUGAGACACGGCCCAGACUCCUACGGGAGGCAGCAGUAGGGAAUCUUCCGCAAUGGGCGAAAGCCUGACGGAGCAAUGCCGCGUGAGUGAUGAAGGUUUUCGGAUCGUAAAGCUCUGUUGCCAGGUAAGAACGCUUGAUAGAGUAACUGCUCUCAAGGUGACGGUACCUGAGAAGAAAGCCCCGGCUAACUACGUGCCAGCAGCCGCGGUAAUACGUAGGGGGCAAGCGUUGUCCGAAAUUAUUGGGCGUAAUGCGCGCGCAGGCGGUCAUGUAAGUCUGGUGUUUAAUCCCGGGGCUCAACCCCGGAUCGCACUGGAAACUGUGUGACUUGAGUGCAAAAGAGGAUAGUGUAAUUCCACGUGUAGCGGUGAAAAUGCCUAGAGAUGUGGAGGAACACCAGUGUCAAAUUGCUACUCCUCUGGGCUGUUACUGACGCUGAGGCGCGUAAGCGUUGGUGAGCAAACAGGAUC